Molecule: long non-coding RNA, 714 nt
Organism: Populus euphratica (Euphrates poplar)
Lineage: Eukaryota; Viridiplantae; Streptophyta; Magnoliopsida; Malpighiales; Salicaceae
Exons: 2
Source: RefSeq, a predicted model, not a curated record
CAAUCGAAAAAUGUUAGAACUCUCAACUAAUUGAUUGAAAUUGCAUCAAAACACAUGAUAUCCACCCAUUCAUCUUCCACAAUGUAACAGAACUAAACCAAAACCCACGAAAUAAAACUCAAGGUCAAUUAGAUACAAAAGGCUAGUACUUCAACAAUAAAUUCACACUCUAAAGUUUAUCCCCUUCACUGCAAAAAAAUUAAUGACUGAUGUAUACGCAUAACAGAACAGAUCAAGCAGGUUCUACACGUAAAUUCCUGCCUCAGGUUCAAAAUCAAGAACCUCAAACACCAACACAGCAGAAUACAAAGAAUCAGGAGAUAAAUUAACACAUCAAAAGAAAACAUCACUUGAAGAAAUGACAAGCAAAUGAAACCGGUAAAAGUAUUUUGAUCUCCACGAAAUAUACAUAAAAAAAUUACUUUAAAGCAAACAAAGUCCACUAAGAUCUAACAAUAAAAACAAACAAAUCAUCCCAAAAAAAUUCCCAAGACAAUAAUUAAACAAAAAAAAUAAUCAAAGCCCGUGAACAUAAUCCACAAAGAAAAUCUAAAAUUACCCCUCCAAAAAAAUAUGACAAACCAAACCGGAUACAAAAAUCAAAGCUUCAAUAGAUCCAACACAACCCAGAAGCCAAUACACACAAAUUAUCUCAAAAUCCCCAAAAAGUUUCAAUCUUUGCAUGCUUGAAUAAAAAAAAUAGAUGCAAACUUU